Molecule: non-coding RNA, 106 nt
Organism: Gossypium hirsutum (cotton)
Lineage: Eukaryota; Viridiplantae; Streptophyta; Magnoliopsida; Malvales; Malvaceae
Source: Rfam
AUUCCAUGUUAUGGGAACUUUUUUAGCAUCGUCAUGAAAUGCUUCCACGCCUCAUAAAAGAACUCACCUUCGUAUUGUUUGAAAUUGGCGAUUUCUUGCCUAUGUU